AGAGUUUGAUCAUGGCUCAGGAUGAAUGCUGGCGGCGUGGAUAAGGCAUGCAAGUCGAACGAAGCAUCCUUUUGAAGUUAGUGCGAUUACAUCAAGCUGGCUACUGUUGGAUGCUUAGUGGCGAACGAGUUAGUAACAUCUUGGUACGUACCUCGAAGUCGAGCACAACGGGUCGAAAGAUCCGCUAAUUCUCGAUGGUCCCGCAAGGGUAAAGUCGCAAGACGCUUCGAGAGCGGCCUAGAUCCUAUCAGCUUGUUGGCGGGGUAACGGCCCACCAAGGCUAUGACGGGUAGGGGGUGUGAGAGCACGACCCUCAACGACGAAACUGAGACACGGUUCGUACACCUACGGGUGGCAGCAGUCGAGAAUAUUCGACAAUGGGCGAAAGCCUGAUCGAGCGACGCCGCGUGCGGGAAGACGGCCUUCGGGUUGUAAACCGCUUUUGCGUGGGAAGAAUUUUGACGGUACCACGAGAAUAAGGGGUUGCUAACUCUGUGCCAGCAGCAGCGGUAAUACAGAGACCCCGAGCAUUAUCCGGAAUUACUGGGCGUAAAGAGUGAGUAGCCGGUCUUGUUAGUCUGAUGUAAAACCGUGGGGCCCAACUUCACGUCUGCAUCGGAAACGGCAAGACUCGAGCGGAUGAGAGGAGAGCAGAACGUAUGGUGUAGGGGUGAAAUCCACUGAUAUCAUACGGAAUACCAAAAGCGAAGGCAGCUCUCUAGCGUCUUGCUGACGGUCAAUCACGAAAGCGUGGGGAUCAAAAAGGAUUAGAUACCCUAGUAGUCC
RNAcentral lists this ribosomal RNA (786 nucleotides) under uncultured bacterium. Its description in RNAcentral is "bacterial SSU rRNA". It matches the Rfam family "Bacterial small subunit ribosomal RNA", at positions 8 to 796 of the family's 1533-position model. The record is from RNAcentral.